This 123-nucleotide ribosomal RNA is filed under the name Salmonella enterica subsp. enterica. Its description in RNAcentral is "partial 16S ribosomal RNA". It matches the Rfam family "Bacterial small subunit ribosomal RNA", at positions 1421 to 1533 of the family's 1533-position model. Lineage: Bacteria; Pseudomonadati; Pseudomonadota; Gammaproteobacteria; Enterobacterales; Enterobacteriaceae. The record is from RNAcentral.
AAGAAGUAGGUAGAUUAACCUUCUGGAAGGCGCUUACCACUUUGUGAUUCAUGACUGGGGUGAAGUCGUAACAAGGUAACCGUAGGGGAACCUGCGGUUGGAUCACCUCCUUACCUUAAAGAA